This is a long non-coding RNA of Syngnathus typhle (broad-nosed pipefish), 672 nucleotides long. RefSeq lists it as uncharacterized. Lineage: Eukaryota; Metazoa; Chordata; Actinopteri; Syngnathiformes; Syngnathidae. The record is from RefSeq and is a predicted model, not a curated record. The transcript is spliced from 2 exons.
UCACAGUCCAAGGGAAACAAAGAGAAUCGAGAAGCAAAAGAAGUCCGAACCCUCGUCCCGUUGCAGAGUGCGUUUAUGAAGUGUGGGGAGGCGGAGUGGACUCUUCCACAGAGAAAAACUUUCCCACGCAGUCAAGACAGCCCACUCCUUUGAUGACACUACUGAGCGAGAAAUCGAAAUCUGGCGUACAAUUUGUCGGAAACCAGUGACGGGACAAGGCGGAAAUUGCAACAUCUUCUAUUCAUUAACUUUAUGAAAAGUUUGCCCGAUGACUAGACUGCUCUGUGAUCACAUCUUUUCAGCCUUAAAAAAAUGUAAAACCUAUAAUUAUCUAAACUGAAGUUGAGUGAACUGAAAAUGUCAAAGCAACAAAGCAAUCCAAAUUAUAUUUAGAUAAAAUAAAAGUUGAAUUGCAUAAAUCUAAGUUACUUCAGUUACAACUUUAAGUAAAAGUUUAACAAAUAAUUAAUAGUUUACAGAACCAAUUGUUUUGUGCCCCAACUUAACAUUUCUAGUUAAAAUAACCUUUCAGUUUUGACGCAAACAUUUUGUUUUGUUGUGCUCACUAAUUGUUCCCAUAAAUGUUCCAACUAAAAGUACUAAUUCAGCUCACAUAAAAUACACAAUGUGUUUUUACAGUGAAGACUAAACUGUCCAUAGGUGUGGAUGCAA